Molecule: long non-coding RNA, 243 nt
Organism: Diceros bicornis minor
Lineage: Eukaryota; Metazoa; Chordata; Mammalia; Perissodactyla; Rhinocerotidae
Exons: 3
Source: RefSeq, a predicted model, not a curated record
GCGCUGGCGGCGCCUUGGAGGGAUGGGGCGUGUUUGCGCGGUGUGUCCCAUCUUCUGGGCUCGAACCGGAUUCCCGUGGACGUUUGCCCUCAGGGGCGGGGCGCGACACGAAAAGCAUCCGUGGAGCUCAAGUUUGAGGUGAAACCAGGCUCAGGGUCCACCCGUCCUCGCUGAUCCAUGGAUUUCUGUGUGACCAGGUCCUGGGCUAGACAGAGAGCGACUCUACUGGGAGCUGAGCCAUGA